GUGUAGUGUCCCUUUAAAUUACCUGCUAAAUUAUGAGAUUCAUCCUGCACUUAUCAUUAAUACCACCUCCAAUUUGUUCAUCAAGCCUAUAGCAUUUACAAGAAGAUAUUUAAGGGUACCCAUCAUUGUUUUGUAGUUUAUUAAAAACGAUCAAAUAGCAACUUACUUGCUUUACUAAUUUCACCAGUUGCCCCAUGUCUACCCCCCAUAAGUUUCACACGUGUUUCACCUCCUCUCUAUACAACCUACAUAGCUUUUUUUUCUGUGUCGCUAGUUUAAAGCCAUCUUCUCUCCAGACACAGCAAACAGUUGUCCAGUGAAUUCAGGACAUGGCCACUUUAAUGUUUCUCUAGCUAGAACAGAGAGAGUUACAGCGUUAAAAUCCAAAUUAUGCAUUUCCAAAGUUGUCAUUUGUAGCUACCUGCAUCAGUAACAUUUAUUUAAACUAUCUGUCUUGUGAAACCGUAGAUGCAAAACAAAAGUUAUUUCCAAAAACCGAGAAAAAUAUAGCGGCAAAAAGCAAUUCUGGUGGACAUAAGUAUUUAAGUUAGCUUCCAGAAUGCUCGAGAUAUGGGCUGCCUAUUGAAGAUGGCAGAGUUCCCUAUAUAAAUGUAUGACAACUUUAAUCUUAAAAAGUUUUUAUUCAGCAGUUUUGAUUUUAUGGACAUUUAAAUAAUAUAUUUAAACAUUUGUGACAUUUUCAUGCUAACAACCACAUUGGCCAAAUAUAAAAGCAUGGAAAUAGCACGUGCGUAGAUAAUGCAUGUAGAAAAGUCAUAUACAAAAAAGUAAAUGUCUACUGGCCUUUGUGAAGACUGAUCCUCAUAUUAGCUAAGACAUUUGUGAGAUUGAGAAAUCAUAUCUUUAACACGUUGUAAUAUUGCUUGUUAAUGAAAUAAAUGCAAAUAUAUUCUUGAAGGUAAUUGGCUCAUGGUUGCCAUCUUGGUUUUAAUAUUAACUUCCUUUAAGCUGCCAUGAUAGAGACCUAGCUGUGGACAUACUCUCUAGUAUGCUCAUUUUCCCAACGAACAGUUUUUUUAGAAAACAUGACCGUGGACAUGUGUGCCAAAAUUUGCAUGGUUCUAACAAUUAGUAUUAGGAAAGAAGAUGUUAAAAGAAUUUCGAGCAAUCCAAUAUAACUGCUGAAUCAUGUGUCCAAACUUCUCUUGAACAAAUCUGAAUCUAAAUCACACAUCAUAAUUUAAUAAUUAACAAAAGUUACAGAUCUGUAGUCCAGUAGAAGAAUUUCUUUCUUUUAAUAUUGUGCAAAAUUAGAUGCAAACAAAAAAUGACUGUAAAACCAUGUGAUAUAGGUGGCUAAGCCAAAAAAUUGAUCACCAAACUCAAGAUGACCAAGAGAUGUACCUAUAGCCUUGUUUUGGCAAAGGAUAUAGCGUACCAUACGUCUCUACCAUUACAUGUAGUUUUAAGAGUUAUGUAUUAAUGGUUUGGUUUUUAAUAGGAAUUUUAAAAAGUGGUUAAUCAUAAAACUACUAGCAAAAAUUUGAACAAAAACAGUAGUUUGUCCUGCAACGCUGUUGCUUGGCCACCUAGAAAUAUGAGUCAUGCCUAAUUCACAGACAUUUUAUGAAAACAAUAUUACAAUAUAAAGGCAUAGGAAUUAAAAUAAACAUCUUAUUUUGUUGACAUGCUCAGAUUUUGGAGCAUUCUAAUAAAAUUUGUAUUGACUUUUUGUGUUAUACAAUUUUGUUAAUUUGAUAAAGUUGAUCUUUUAACUUUUCAGUUUGGACUUUAACAUUAUUAGAGGGAUUUAUUUUUUAUUUGGAAGAGUUCCCAUAUAUUUGCAUAUGAUUGCAAGCAUGACUUCAUCCGCUCCAGCUCCUAUUGAAAGUAGUCUUGAAUCUCUGAAAAA
RNAcentral lists this long non-coding RNA (1873 nucleotides) under Pelobates cultripes (western spadefoot toad). The record is from RNAcentral. Lineage: Eukaryota; Metazoa; Chordata; Amphibia; Anura; Pelobatidae.